RNAcentral lists this ribosomal RNA (336 nucleotides) under uncultured Anaerolineaceae bacterium. RNAcentral's name for it is "bacterial SSU rRNA". It matches the Rfam family "Bacterial small subunit ribosomal RNA", at positions 1034 to 1377 of the family's 1533-position model. The record is from RNAcentral. Lineage: Bacteria; Bacillati; Chloroflexota; Anaerolineae; Anaerolineales; Anaerolineaceae.
ACAGGUGUUGCAUGGCUGUCGUCAGCUCGUGUCGUGAGAUGUUCGGUUAAGUCCGCUAACGAGCGCAACCCUCGCUGUGUGUUUAUAUGUGUCACACAGGACUGCUGGUAUUAAGCCGGAGGAAGGUGGGGACGACGUCAAGUCAGCAUGACCUUUAUAUCCAGGGCUACACACACGCUACAAUGGUCAGUACAAUGGGUUGCCAAGCCGCGAGGCGGAGCCAAUCCUAAAAAAGCUGGCCUCAGUUCAGAUUGCAGUCUGAAACUCGACUGCAUGAAGUCGGAGUUGCUAGUAAGCGCAGGUCAGCUAUACUGCGCUGAAUACGUUCCGGGCGUU